GAGCUUACUAUACGGUCUUGGCUUCACGCCGAGGAGAACAAGCGCCGGACUCUUCAGAAAAACGAUAUCGCUGCAGCCAUUACCAGGACCGAUAUUUUUGAUUUCUUGGUGGAUAUUGUGCCCAGAGAUGAGAUCAAAGAUGAGGCUGGGCUGGGAGGGAUGGUUGGGGCCACGGCUAGCGGGGGACCUUAUUAUUAUCCGCCGAUGGGGCAUCCGGCUGGUGCCGGCCCUGGAGGAAUGAUGAUUGGGAGGCCCGCCGUGGAUCCUACUGGAGUUUAUGUCCAGCCACCUUCACAGGCGUGGCAGUCUGUGUGGCAGACGGCUGCGGCGGAGGAUGUUUCGUAUGGAAGCGGAGGCAGCAGUGGACAGGGAAACCUCGAUGGACAAGGUUAAGCAAGUGAGAUGGAGUGGUGUUCAGUGGUGCACCCGGAAGGCAAUGGGCCUCAGCUAAUACAUGGAUUUUUGCUUGCUUAUGAUCUUUAACGUACGUGUCUGCUAUUAUUUAUGGAAGCUGUCUUUAAUUUUAACGGUAUAACUAGAUAUUUAUUAACUUAAUUUUUAACGGCCAUACAAUCUCUGUCAUAACAUGCCUGAUUAUAACUAAUGUGCAGUUUCCUGAUUUGUGAUCCUUUUCUUGGUGAUUCUGUUUUGUCC
RNAcentral lists this unclassified non-coding RNA (654 nucleotides) under Hevea brasiliensis (rubber tree). Lineage: Eukaryota; Viridiplantae; Streptophyta; Magnoliopsida; Malpighiales; Euphorbiaceae. The record is from RNAcentral.